Molecule: ribosomal RNA, 433 nt
Filed under: uncultured bacterium
Lineage: Bacteria
Description: partial 16S ribosomal RNA
Rfam family: Bacterial small subunit ribosomal RNA
Source: RNAcentral
AGCGAACGCUGGCGGCAGGCCUAACACAUGCAAGUCGAACGGAUCCUUCGGGAUUAGUGGCGGACGGGUGGGUAACACGUGGGAACGUGCCCUUUGGUUCGGAACAACUCAGGGAAACUUGAGCUAAUACCGGAUGUGCCCUUCGGGGGAAAGAUUUAUCGCCAUUGGAGCGGCCCGCGUCUGAUUAGCUAGUUGGUGAGGUAACGGCCCACCAAGGCGACGAUCAGUAGCUGGUCUGAGAGGAUGAUCAACCACACUGGGACUGAGACACGGCCCAGACUCCUACGGGAGGCAGCAGUGGGGAAUCUUGCGCAAUGGGCGAAAGCCUGACGCAGCCAUGCCGCGUGAAUGAUGAAGGUCUUAGGAUUGUAAAAUUCUUUCAGCGGGGACGAUAAUGACGGUACCCGCAGAAGAAGCUCCGGCUAACUUCGUG